Molecule: ribosomal RNA, 253 nt
Filed under: uncultured bacterium
Lineage: Bacteria
Description: partial 16S ribosomal RNA
Rfam family: Bacterial small subunit ribosomal RNA
Source: RNAcentral
UACGGAGGGUGCAAGCGUUGUUCGGAAUUAUUGGGCGUAAAGAGCGUGUAGGCGGUUCGGUAAGUCAGAUGUGAAAGCCCUGGGCUCAACCCAGGAAGUGCAUUUGAAACUACCAGACUUGAGUACGGGAGAGGAGGGGGGAAUUCCCGGUGUAGAGGUGAAAUUCGUAGAUAUCGGGAGGAAUACCAGUGGCGAAGGCGCCCCUCUGGACCGAUACUGACGCUGAGACGCGAAAGCGUGGGGAGCAAACAGG